Molecule: transfer RNA, 71 nt
Filed under: Tigriopus californicus
Lineage: Eukaryota; Metazoa; Arthropoda; Copepoda; Harpacticoida; Harpacticidae
Description: tRNA-Gly for anticodon CCC
Rfam family: tRNA
About the family: Transfer RNA (tRNA) molecules are approximately 80 nucleotides in length. Their secondary structure includes four short double-helical elements and three loops (D, anti-codon, and T loops). Further hydrogen bonds mediate the characteristic L-shaped molecular structure. tRNAs have two regions of fundamental functional importance: the anti-codon, which is responsible for specific mRNA codon recognition, and the 3' end, to which the tRNAs corresponding amino acid is attached (by aminoacyl-tRNA synthetases). tRNAs cope with the degeneracy of the genetic code in two manners: having more than one tRNA (with a specific anti-codon) for a particular amino acid; and 'wobble' base-pairing, i.e. permitting non-standard base-pairing at the 3rd anti-codon position.
Source: Rfam by way of RNAcentral
GCAGCUGUGGUGUAAUGGUGAAUAUGCCUUCCUCCCAAGGAGCGAUCCGGGUUCGAUUCCCCGCAGCUGCA